CCGUCUCCACCUAGCCACCGUGUACAUUUUCUUUCUCUCUCUUGCAGCUGUUCUCUUCCUACGGACUGAAUGAAAAAUAAAAGGAAGUCAUUUCUGCAUGUGUCACAGAGGCAUCCUUUGGUUCUAAAGGAAGCUAAGUUGGAUUCCACAAGCCCAUGGUCCUUAUAGCAUGUGAAUAGGAUUCAGUCACGGACGAGAAGGAAGAGGUUCAGGAGAGACUGUAAUCGCCCUGUCCAGGCUAACCCUCCAGCUGUGCAGGAGUAUCAAGUCCAAAAAGAAGCUCUUCAAACCAUCUGGGAAGAGAAAACAGCAUGACAAGGAAAGGUGUAUUUGUCUGAUUCUAGGAAUCAAUAUAAACAUCCAUGAUAACCCCAUCUAAUUUUUAAAUGUAUGAUUUGGAUGAAACAAGAGAAGACACUGAUUGUUGCUGAGUCCCUGCUGUAGUCCUGACACAGCUGGAGAUGCCCUGCUCUCCUUAUUUUCUUGAUGCUCAUGAGGACCCUGAUGUCUAAGGAAGAAGGUUCUCGUCCAGGUCUGCCCCUGGUGUGUCACGUGCCAGCCUUGUCAAUGCACACGAGAACCUGACAGGUUUUAUGAUUUUAGAACAUAAGUUUUAUGAUUGUUAGUGCUGGGCAACAAAAAGGAGUCCAGAGGAACGGGAGAAAAAACAACAAUAGCAAUGAUGUGAAUGCAAAACAUGAACCAGACUAAGCAGAGCAGAGGGCGGUGUGGAGCGGGAAGCAGAGACAGAAGCUUGUGAUGUUUCAGUGAUUGCUGGGAGUUAUUCAUCACCGGUAAGCCUCAUGUUCCAAAGACUCAUCAGGGCCAGGGGUUAGUUUUACGAGCUCUGUGUAAAAGAUCAUUACACAGGGCCAGUUAGAGUUCCCGCAGGAAGGAAGCGGCACACCCUAUGGGGUGAUUAGGAAGAGUGUCAUGAAGGGUGCCACACUCACACCCUAGGAAAGAGGAAAGGGGCCCAAGGGGACUCACAGAGGGAGCAGAGGGUCUGUGGGCCACAGCCAGCCCAACCACAGAGUGGCCAGAGUGACAUAGGCCCCCUCUCUGCAGGCUGGUCUCCUGCUUGGGUGUGCCCCAAGUCACCCACC
This 1106-nucleotide long non-coding RNA is filed under the name Homo sapiens (human). RNAcentral describes it as "HSALNT0025656". Lineage: Eukaryota; Metazoa; Chordata; Mammalia; Primates; Hominidae. The record is from RNAcentral.